AACGUAGGGGGCAAACGUUGCUCGGAAUCAUUGGGCGUAAAGCGCACGCAGGCGGUCCUGCAAGUCGGGUGUGAAAUCCCUCGGCUUAACCGAGGAACUGCGCCCGAAACUGCUGGACUCGAGGACGGGAGGGGAGAGUGGAACUCCUGGUGGAGCGGUGAAAUGCGUAGAUAUCAGGAGGAACACCGGCGGCGAAAGCGACUCUCUGGUCCGUCCCUGACGCUCAGGUGCGAAAGCUGGGGGAGCAAACGGG
This 253-nucleotide ribosomal RNA is filed under the name uncultured bacterium. Its description in RNAcentral is "partial 16S ribosomal RNA". It matches the Rfam family "Bacterial small subunit ribosomal RNA", at positions 524 to 776 of the family's 1533-position model. The record is from RNAcentral.